GGUUAAGCGACUAAGCGUACACGGUGGAUGCCCUGGCAGUCAGAGGCGAUGAAGGGCGUGCUAAUCUGCGAUAAGCGCCGGUAAGGUGAUAUGAACCGUUAUAACCGGCGAUACCCGAAUGGGGAAACCCAGUGUGACUCGUCACACUAUCAUUAACUGAAUCCAUAGGUUAAUGAGGCGAACCGGGGGAACUGAAACAUCUAAGUACCCCGAGGAAAAGAAAUCAACCGAGAUUCCCCCAGUAGCGGCGAGCGAACGGGGAGGAGCCCAGAGCCUGAAUCAGCAUGUGUGUUAGUGGAAGCGUCUGGAAAGGCGCGCGAUACAGGGUGACAGCCCCGUACACAAAAGCGCAUGUGCUGUGAGCUCGAUGAGUAGGGCGGGACACGUGGUAUCCUGUCUGAAUAUGGGGGGACCAUCCUCCAAGGCUAAAUACUCCUGACUGACCGAUAGUGAACCAGUACCGUGAGGGAAAGGCGAAAAGAACCCCGGCGAGGGGAGUGAAAAAGAACCUGAAACCGUGUACGUACAAGCAGUGGGAGCACAGGUUUACCUGUGUGACUGCGUACCUUUUGUAUAAUGGGUCAGCGACUUAUAUUCUGUAGCAAGGUUAACCGAAUAGGGGAGCCGGAGGGAAACCGAGUCUUAACCGGGCGUUAAGUUGCAGGGUAUAGACCCGAAACCCGGUG
This 686-nucleotide ribosomal RNA is filed under the name Salmonella enterica. RNAcentral describes it as "partial 23S ribosomal RNA". It matches the Rfam family "Bacterial large subunit ribosomal RNA", at positions 1 to 727 of the family's 2925-position model. The record is from RNAcentral. Lineage: Bacteria; Pseudomonadati; Pseudomonadota; Gammaproteobacteria; Enterobacterales; Enterobacteriaceae.